This 1561-nucleotide ribosomal RNA is filed under the name Leuconostoc fallax. RNAcentral's name for it is "bacterial SSU rRNA". It matches the Rfam family "Bacterial small subunit ribosomal RNA". The record is from RNAcentral. Lineage: Bacteria; Bacillati; Bacillota; Bacilli; Lactobacillales; Lactobacillaceae.
UAGAGUUUGAUCAUGGCUCAGGAUGAACGCUGGCGGCGUGCCUAAUACAUGCAAGUCGAACGCUAGUCGCGGACCUGAUCACUUCGGUGAGACGUAAAGCAUAUGGCUAGAGUGGCGAACGGGUGAGUAACACGUGGACAACCUGCCUCUAAGCAGGGGAUAACAUUUGGAAACAGAUGCUAAUACCGUAUAACAACGCAUUUCGCAUGAAGUGUGUUUAAAAGGGGCUUCGGCCUCACUUAGAGAUGGAUCCGCGGUGCAUUAGUUAGUUGGUGAGGUAAAGGCUUACCAAGACGAUGAUGCAUAGCCGAGUUGAGAGACUGAUCGGCCACAUUGGGACUGAGACACGGCCCAAACUCCUACGGGAGGCUGCAGUAGGGAAUCUUCCACAAUGGGCGCAAGCCUGAUGGAGCAACGCCGCGUGUGUGAUGAAGGCUUUCGGGUCGUAAAGCACUGUUGUAUGGGAAGAAUAGUUAAUGUAGGAAAUGAUGUUAAUGUGACGGUACCAUACCAGAAAGGGACGGCUAAAUACGUGCCAGCAGCCGCGGUAAUACGUAUGUCCCGAGCGUUAUCCGGAUUUAUUGGGCGUAAAGCGAGCGCAGACGGUUCGUUAAGUCUGAAGUGAAAGCCCACAGCUCAACUGUGGAAUGGCUUUGGAAACUGGCGAACUUGAGUGCAGUAGAGGCAAGUGGAACUCCAUGUGUAGCGGUGGAAUGCGUAGAUAUAUGGAAGAACACCAGUGGCGAAGGCGGCUUGCUGGACUGUAACUGACGUUGAGGCUCGAAAGUGUGGGUAGCAAACAGGAUUAGAUACCCUGGUAGUCCACACCGUAAACGAUGAGUGCUAGGUGUUAGGAGGUUUCCGCCUCUUAGUGCCGGAGCUAACGCAUUAAGCACUCCGCCUGGGGAGUACGACCGCAAGGUUGAAACUCAAAGGAAUUGACGGGGACCCGCACAAGCGGUGGAGCAUGUGGUUUAAUUCGAAGCAACGCGAAGAACCUUACCAGGUCUUGACAUCCUUUGAAGAUGUUAGAGAUAAUAUUGUUCUCUUCGGAGACAAAGUGACAGGUGGUGCAUGGUCGUCGUCAGCUCGUGUCGUGAGAUGUUGGGUUAAGUCCCGCAACGAGCGCAACCCUUAUGUUUAGUUGCCAGCAUUUAGUUGGGCACUCUAGACAGACUGCCGGUGACAAACCGGAGGAAGGCGGGGAUGACGUCAGAUCAUCAUGCCCCUUAUGACCUGGGCUACACACGUGCUACAAUGGCGUAUACAACGAGUUGCGAACCGGCGACGGUAAGCUAAUCUCUUAAAGUACGUCUCAGUUCGGAUUGUAGUCUGCAACUCGACUACAUGAAGUCGGAAUCGCUAGUAAUCGCGGAUCAGCAUGCCGCGGUGAAUACGUUCCCGGGUCUUGUACACACCGCCCGUCACACCAUGAGAGUUUGUAACACCCAAAGCCGGUGGGCUAACCUUCGGGAGGUAGCCGUCUAAGGUGGGACAGAUGAUUAGGGUGAAGUCGUAACAAGGUAGCCGUAGGAGAACCUGCGGUUGGAUCACCUCCUUA